AGCAUAUCAAUAAGCGGAGGAAAAGAAACUAACAAGGAUUCCCCUAGUAACUGCGAGUGAAGCGGGAAAAGCUCAAAUUUAAAAUCUGGCGGUCUCUGACUGUCCGAGUUGUAAUCUAGAGAAGCGUUAUCCGCGCUGGACCGUGUACAAGUCUCCUGGAAUGGAGCGUCAUAGAGGGUGAGAAUCCCGUCUUUGACACGGACUGCCAGGGCUUUGUGAUGCGCUCUCAAAGAGUCGAGUUGUUUGGGAAUGCAGCUCAAAAUGGGUGGUAAAUUCCAUCUAAAGCUAAAUAUUGGCGAGAGACCGAUAGCGAACAAGUACCGUGAGGGAAAGAUGAAAAGAACUUUGGAAAGAGAGUUAAACAGUACGUGAAAUUGCUGAAAGGGAAACGCUUGAAGUCAGUCGCGUUGGCCAGGGAUCAACCUUGCUUUUGCUUGGUGUACUUUCUGGUUGACGGGUCAGCAUCAAUUUUGACUAUUGGAAAAAGGUCAAGGGAAUGUGGCAUCUUCGGAUGUGUUAUAGCCCUUGGUUGCAUACAAUGGUUGGGAUUGAGGAACUCAGCACGCCGCAAGGCCGGGUUUUAACCACGUACGUGCUUAGGAUGCUGGCAAAAUGGCUUUAAUCGACCCGUCUUGAAACACGGACCAAGGAGUCUAACAUGCCUGCGAGUGUUUGGGUGGAAAACCCGAGCGCGUAAUGAAAGUGAAAGUUGAGAUCCCUGUCGUGGGGAGCAUCGACGCCCGGACCAGACCUUUUGUGACGGUUCCGCGGUAGAGCAUGUAUGUUGGGACCCGAAAGAUGGUGAACUAUGCCUGAAUAGGGUGAAGCCAGAGGAAACUCUGGUGGAGGCUCGUAGCGAUUCUGACGUGCAAAUCGAUCGUCAAAUUUGGGUAUAGGGGCGAAAGACUAAUCGAACCAUCUAGUAGCUG
The sequence is a ribosomal RNA, 929 nucleotides long. It matches the Rfam family "Eukaryotic large subunit ribosomal RNA", at positions 37 to 953 of the family's 3401-position model.